Long non-coding RNA from Anolis carolinensis (green anole), 7013 nucleotides. RefSeq lists it as uncharacterized. The record is from RefSeq and is a predicted model, not a curated record. NCBI's taxonomy places the organism in Eukaryota, Metazoa, Chordata, Lepidosauria, Squamata, Anolidae. The transcript is spliced from 2 exons.
UACCUACAAGAAUGAAGUUGGGUUGACAAGACUGCAUGUAGUAACCUUUAGUAUCAGCUAUUCUUACAUUUUUCCAGCAUCAAAGUAUUUACAGUAAAUUCUCAGUACAACAAUGCUCCUUAAACUAUUUGAUGGCAAAGCCUCUAACUGUCCGAAUUUGUAUGGGACAGUCCUGAUCAAUCAUUUCACUUUUUCAGUUGCUUUUAAAGUUCCAGUUUCUCUCUCUUCCUCCCACUUUCUCUUUGUUCUCAGCAUGCUUCAGUUGCUGCAAAACGAGUACACAGUUUGCACACAAUCAAUUGGGGUUGGAGAGGAGAAAAGGGGCAGAAUUUAACCUUCCCAAUAGACACAGGGAAGACUGCAGCCUUUCUUAGCUUGUGUGUUCUUUCUUAUUAACAGCUUUUGCCAUCAUGACCUUGUGUGUUUCACCUCAUAUUGGAGAAUAUGGGACUUGCAGCAGUUUAUCCUAUUGUUCUGGGGACUGACACCAUAUUUCUGACAACUAUUUCUUUCUUUCCUGGAAACUUGCCACAGAUGGGCAGCCAAUAGCUCCCAGACUGGCACUGGUCCCUAGACCAUCACUUUAAGAAGUAUUGAUAUAUACAGCACAUCAGACAGUGUUUAACACAAGAGCCUUUGUUGUUCUGGGACCGUAUAUGAGCACAGUCACUGUUCUGGAUCUCUGUCUCAGAAUUCAGUGUAUUUGCAGAGGGAUUUGUACCAGAUGAUUGUAAGUUUGCUCUCAAAUGUUAUUUACCCAAAAUAAAGCUUUGUAAUGCAGGGCAGAAAGGGUCUGCAGAGAGCUGAUAGAGUACUGAAUAAUUCACUUUGAUCAAGGCAGAAACAGUACAAAGCUGUAUCUAAAUCCCCAAGGGUUAAUAUUUGAAAGGAAAGAGAUGUAGAUAAUGAAUUGCCAACCAAGCCAUUUAUUUUAACAACUUUUAAACUAUUAGUUUAUUUAAAAACCAUUAGCAUUUCACGCAUUAAGCCAUGCAAUUUAACACCCUAUUCCCUUGGCCUUUUAAAAAGAAAUCCUGUGCAUGAUUACCUCACGGUAAGCAAAAAAGAAGGGGGGGGGGGGAAUCCAUUUGUCAAACAAGAAUGAACUUGCAGUCCCAUGAGCCUGUUUUCCAUGUUUUCCCCCUAAAUAAUUCACUGUCAACAGGACUGCAGCUUCUGUUUUUGUUCCUGGGUUUAAUAGCAAACCUGCUGCAAGUACAGUAAUAGAAAGGAUUUUCUCAGCAGGGACUACUGUAGAUCAAGGGUGUAUAGAAGUGGGAAAGGCCUAGCUAUUCAAAUAUACAAAGUCCAUACCAGUUUCCUUUUUAUCAGACAUUGCAUGUCACCCUAUGUUUCAACCCUGCUAUAAGGACUAUGGACCUUAGAAUCAUAGAAUCAUAGAAUAGUAGAGUUGGAAGAGACCUCAUGAGCCAUCCAGUUCAACCCCCUGCCAAGAAGCAGGAAAUCGCAUUCAAAGCACCCCCGACAGAUGGCCAUCCAGCCUCUGCUUAAAAGCCUCCAAAGAUGGGAGCCUCCACCACAGUCCGGGGGAGAAAGUUCCACUGCCAAACAGCUCUCACAGUGAGGAAAUUCUUCCUGAUGUUCAGGUGGAAUCUCCUUUCCUGUAGUUUGAAGCCAUUGUUCCGCAUCCUAGUCUCCAGGGCAGCAGAAAACAAGCUUGCUCCCUCCUCCCUAUGACUUCCCUUCACGUAUUUGUACAUGGCUAUCAUGUCUCCUCUCAGCCUUCUCUUCUGCAGGCUAAACAUGCCUAGUUCUUUAAGCUGCUCCUCAUAGGGCUUGUUCUCCAGACACUUGAUCAUUUUAGUUGCCUUCCUCUGGACGCUUUCCAGCUUGUCAACAUCUCCCUUCAAUUGCGGUGCCCAGAACUGGUCACAGUAUUCCAGGUGUGGUCUGACCAAGACAGAAUAGAGGGGUAGCAUGACUUCCCUGGAUCUAGAUGCUAUACCCCUAUUUAUGCAGGCCAGAAUCCCGUUGGCUUUUUUAGCAGCCGCAUCACAUUGUAGUCUCAUAUUUAACUUGUUGUCCAUGAGGACUCCAAGAUCUUUUUCACAUGUACUGCUGUCGAGCCAGGAGUCCCCCAUUCUGUAUCUUUGCAUUCCAUUUUUUCUGCCGAAGUGAAGUAUCUUGCACUUGUCCCUGUUGAACUUCAUUUUGUUAGUUUCGGCCCAUCUCUCUAGUCUAUCAAGAUCGUUUUGAAUUCUGCUCCUGUCUUCUGGAGUGUUAGCUAUCCCUCCCAGUUUAGUGUCAUCUGCAAACUUGAUAAAUCACAACUUAGAUCCCACACUAUAAAACAUAGAUGGAACUUGUGGAGUUCUCUGGGUGCUGCAAGCAGCCACAGACUUUCCUGGGCAGGGAUAAGAUAAGCACCAUCACCCAGGCAAUGGUAAAUUUCCAAUUAGUUUGCUGCAAUGCAUUUGAGGCUGUCCUUGUAUUUUAAUAACUCCCAUAUUUUAUUUUAUUUUAAUGUUUAUAUACUUUAGAUUUUAAUUCAUACAAUUUUAAUUUGUUAGCCAUUUUGAGUCUCCUCGAGAAAGAGAAAGCACAAUGCAAAUACAAUAUUUGUAUAAAUAUAGCUGCCUGAGAACUGUAGUUUGUUGGAGAGGCCCUCCUCUGUGCCCCAUCCGUCAGAACAAUGCACUGUGAGAAGAUAUGGAAGAAGCCUUUCUCUGCUAUGACAUACCCAGAAACACAAUUUGUAUUAAUGUCAUUCCAGUACCAAAUCAAAACAAGGCUUUUCAUUAACACCUUUGGGGACUCACUGAUAACUGCUUCCAUAUGCUUUAAGUCUUUCAAUAUUAUUGUUGUUUAAACCUUUUUUAAUUGAUUUUUUUUGUACAGCUGCCCUCAGGUCCUUGGAUAUAAGGUGGAGUAUACAGGUAUUUUUAAUGCAAUGGAUGUAUUUCUGGGCAUUAUUUUUUUAACAGAAAAUGUGGUACCAGAGGAAGACACAUGGAAACAACAGGGAUAGAUUUCUAUACCACAAAAAACAAGAGAAGUUCAACAAGUUUAUAAAAUAGUUAUUCAAAACUAUUUGCAAGGAGACAUCUUUAAGCUGUGUAUGAAAGCUCUGCAGCCCAUUUAAACAGUGUAGCUCUGCUCCUAAAGCAUCCCAAGAAAGGCAAUUCUCUUUCUGUCGUCAGAAAAAUUGUGGUCCAGGGAGUCUAGACAGGCAAAGGGCUACAAACACAACUCUAAGGGCCACACUCUGUCCCAUGCCCUAAUCUAUACAAUAAAUGAGUGGAUACACUAAGAGUAAAGGCAGAGGCAAGGUACCACUGAACACCAGAUAUUUUAGACAGUUGGAAUUACAUUCAUAGCUUCCUUUCAAGCUUUUCAGAAAUGCCUUCCAUUAAUAAUAAAAAUUCUUUAUAUCCCAUCAUUUCAGGUUUUAGUAACCACCAUUAGUAUCAUCAACAGUACAGAUUGAGAAUCCCUUAUCUAAAGUUCUGAAAUCCAAAAUACUACAACAUUCAGAAUUGUCCACAUGGGUGGCUGACAUAGUGACACCUUCGCUUUCUGAUGGUUCAAUGUACACAUUGUUUCCUGCAUAAAAUUAUUACCUAUGGUAUAAAGUUGCCUUCAGGAUAUGUGUGUAUGAAUACAUGGCCUUUAAAGGAGGUCAGAAUCAUUACAGGACAGAUGAGAACAGCAGACCCUUUGGAUGGUGGAGCUACACAGAACUGGAAGCAGAAUCUAUGUGUCUGCUUCUGCCUUGGUUUUAGGAACCAUCACAGAGCCACCUGAUGGUAGAUCAUCUUGUAAAUUCCUGGAUAAUUCAAAUGGAUAGCAUUUGGAAGUGGCCUUCCAGUGCCUCCCUUUCCUCCUUGGAAGUUAUAAUCCAAAUGUCAAUGCUUUAUUCAGUCACUUUCUUUGGAGUCAGUAUUUAUGGGGCUCUCUCUUCUUCCUACCUGCCAAUUUUCACAUAAGCUAAGGAGUUAACAAGUUCUCAUUUUCAUGCUUUUUUUACACCCAGAAAAUCAUCAGGUUAGAGAUGACUGCUUUCUAAAAACCGCUGUUUAUUCAUUAGUAUUUGCUAACAUGGUACACAUUUUGUUGAUCUGGCCUAUAAUUCCUAUCACUCCUUUAAAACCAGAAAGUGUGGUAGGGAAGGCUCACCAGUAUUCAAUAAGCAUGGGGUGCUCAUCCUCUUACUACAGUUGCAUACAUCAGAUAAAACCUAUGGGGUGGGGGAAGGAUGAAAUAAAAUUGAGGUCAUCUUCAUGCAUGACAGCCUCCAAUAGCCCCAUGUUUUCCUUUCUUGGGAAAGAUGGGGAACUGGCUGGCUAAAUGCGCAUGCUACAGAGAGCAGUAGAUACUAUAAUGCAGCAUCAGUGUCUUUUAAACAGAGGAAACCGGCAGGCUAUGCAUAGUCUAGAAGCCCUGUGCCAAACAAGUAGAAUUAUUUAUGGCACAAUAGUGGAAAAGAACACUUUGUUAGCAGGCAAGGAGGCCCUUGGGUAUACAGAUGAACACUCUGCAACUUGCAUUCAAUAAGUGAUUCUCUAGAUGCAUUAUGCGAGUCUCCUUUGGCAUAUCACUUGAGGAAACUGAAGAACUCUAGAAAUCCAUUCAUUGUGUGCAUAUACACACAUAUAAAACAAAUGUGCAUUUGAAGAACAUAACAUUAUAGCAGAGCAUGAAAAGUUACUGACCAUGCUGUGUGGGAGUUGCUGAAGCGAAUUUUCAAAGAAGUAACUUUUUACUGGAAUUGAUUAAAAGAAGGAGCAUUAUUUAUCUUUAUAGAAGGAGACUAUUUCGAGACCUACCUUAAUGAAGACAGGUUAAAAAGUGGUAUGACAACUCUGUCCCUGAUUAAAUGUGGAAUAUUACUGCCUUAUCCCAAAUCAGACCACACUGGUUCAUUCUGGCAGCAUACAAGGCACCUGACUAUUGGUUGUUCUCUCUUUCAGUAAAAAAUAUUCAUCAGGAAAUGACAGAGAUUGAAAUGGGGAUCCUAUGCACAAUUGGGAAUUGUCUGCAACUAGCAAAACCUGCUUGAUCAUAAGUUAACAGAAUAACAGAAGAAACCAGUAUGUAUUCCAUGAACAAGCAUAGCUAUCUUACAGCAGGUCAGUUCCCACCUAAAGUUAAAGCAUAAUUUAAUGCUAUAUAGACAUGCCUGGAAAAACAAAACAAACAACACAAGAAGUCUGUAUAGUUCUCUUUCUUAUUGCACAGCUUACUUUUCUAUGAAUCAAAUAUCAUGAUUUAAAACCAAAACGAAUACAGUGUUCUCUUGCUACUUCACAGUUCACUUUUUGCGCCCUCAGUGUUUUGCGGGUUUUUAAUAAACACUAAAAUAAUAGUAUAAAUCAUAAAAUAAUAUAAAUCCCUUAUAAAUCCUUCCUUCUACUUCCUUCCUAAGGAGAAGCCUAAGGAAGGGAGAGAAAAGGAGGCUGAAGCAACUUUGUUUUUGCCUCACAAGGCAGCAGCGGCAGCGGCGGCAGCAGGAGUGCACAUGCGCCUGCUUGAGAGGUGAAGAGGGGACAUAGAUGCUACUUGCAAACACCACAAAUAUAGCGUCCCUACUUUUCGCAGGUGGUCCUGGAACGUAACCCCCGCGAUAAGUGAGGGAUCAUUGUAUAUCAGUCUGACAUUCCUCAUACAGUAACAGGAACUUGGUUUAUUAUGGCCAAACCGAAGCCUCUGACCAUAUGCCAGUGGAGGUGAAAAGUCUGGUGCUUCACUCAGCCAUAUAGCACUGAAUUGUGGCUGAACAUUAUGCAAGUCAGUCCACUGUAUUCAUCUAAUAAAGAACAAACACAUCUUACUUCAGUUUUGUUGCACUCUAGCCCAGGAAAGACCGUCUUUCCACCCAGCACCACACAGAGUCCAGUAUGAGCUAAUUACAGCAAUUUAUUUACAAAAAGCAUAUACAAAAGGAAAAAUUGGCAUUUCUCAAAAAGCAGUGGAAAAGGUGCUAUGAAAUAAAAAACACAAGAUCAAUAGUCCAAGAUAGCAAGGUACAUGAAAUGAGGAGCAUAGGCAAACAUCCAUAAGCAUCAUGAGUCCCCUUCGGGGUGAGAAGGGCGGAAUAUAAAUGCUGUAAAUAAAUAAAUAAUAAAUAAAACAGGAACUUUUCCAAGGCAAAACAAUUCCAGGAACAAAGGCAAACUUGAGAGCUAAACAUGAACUUGAUAUUAAUGCAACAUUGACUGCUCUGAAGAGACCAAAAAAAACCCCACUCAAUUUAAGCUCAAACCUGACCAGGAAGCCAUGAGGUCAUCCCUUCGGCACCUGGGUUUCAAUGAAGUUUCUCACAAAGUCUUUCUGACUUUCUAAUUAAUCUUUCCUUUGCUCUCUAUGAACUCUGAAGGACGAGAAAGCUGAGAAGGCCAAUUCUCAAGAGAAACUGAAUCCCAAACAUCCUCUAUCUCUUCUCCCUCUUCUGCAGCUGUCGACCCUGCAAUUCUGCCUUAUCACAUGCAGACUCAGUGAAAAAUCCAUCACUCCCCUCAUACUCUGAGGCAGAAUCCCCAGCAUCUUACUGAUUUCACCAGUUUCUGUUCCUGCGAUAAUUGGAUUUUGAAAAAAAUGGCUUGUUGUGGAUACAAGGAUUGGUGACAAAGCUUCAGUGGAGACACCUUUUCCCAUGAAAAUAUUUUCUGGAGUGAAUUUCCUUUCUUAGGACAUAAAUUCAAAUCAUUGUAUUCAAUGGCAAUGGAGACUUUUUCAUGCACAACUUCUUGUCCCCAUCCCCAUGGUGUUUUUGAGAGUCUGUAGAAUCUGUUGUCUCACCCUUGUUCUUAACUAUGAGUCAUUUGUAAGUAGGAUGUUUGUAACUCAGGGAUUGCCUGAACAGCUGAAACGUUUCUAUGCUGUAAACACUGCAUGUUGUUGCUAACGAUUCGUGUAAAUAUCUAGGCGAUGUUCAGAAACCUAAAACUAUUUCUAAAAUUUUCAUGACCCCAACAUUGAGCUAAUGGGACCCCAUUUGGGGCCAGGACCCACAGUGUAGCAGUGUUGUAGAAUAUAUUUCACAGAAAGAAACC